UACGUAGGUGACAAGCGUUGUCCGGAUUUACUGGGCGUAAAGAGCGCGCAGGCGGUCGUUCAAGUCGAGUGUGAAAGCCCCUGGCUCAACUGGGGAGGGUCACUCGAUACUGAUCGACUCGAAGGCAGGAGAGGGUAGUGGAAUUCCCGGUGUAGUGGUGAAAUGCGUAGAUAUCGGGAGGAACACCAGUGGCGAAGGCGACUACCUGGCCUGUUCUUGACGCUGAGGCGCGAAAGCUAGGGGAGCAAACGGG
RNAcentral lists this ribosomal RNA (253 nucleotides) under uncultured bacterium. RNAcentral describes it as "partial 16S ribosomal RNA". It matches the Rfam family "Bacterial small subunit ribosomal RNA", at positions 524 to 776 of the family's 1533-position model. The record is from RNAcentral.